This 105-nucleotide small nuclear RNA is filed under the name Zalophus californianus (California sea lion). The record is from RNAcentral. Lineage: Eukaryota; Metazoa; Chordata; Mammalia; Carnivora; Otariidae.
GCUCGCUUCGGCAGUGCAUACACUAAAAGUGGAAUGAUCUAGAGAAGAUUAGCAUGGUCCCUGCAUGAGGAUGACACGCAAAUUUGUGAAGCUUUGAAAUAUAAU